GACAGAGGUGCCAAGCGUUAGGCGGAAUCACUGGGCUUAAAGCGUGUGUAGGCGGAUCGUUAAGUACCUUGUGAAAUCCCACGGCUCAACCGUGGAACUGCUGGGUAUACUGGCGGUCUUGAGCCACCUAGGGGCAACUGGAACAAGCGGUGGAGCAGUGAAAUGCGUAGAUAUCGCUUGGAACGCCAACGGUGAAAACAGGUUGCUGGGGGUGUGCUGACGCUGAGACACGAAAGCCAGGGGAGCGAACGGG
Molecule: ribosomal RNA, 253 nt
Filed under: uncultured bacterium
Lineage: Bacteria
Description: partial 16S ribosomal RNA
Rfam family: Bacterial small subunit ribosomal RNA
Source: RNAcentral